Molecule: ribosomal RNA, 253 nt
Filed under: uncultured bacterium
Lineage: Bacteria
Description: partial 16S ribosomal RNA
Rfam family: Bacterial small subunit ribosomal RNA
Source: RNAcentral
UACGUAGGGUGCGAGCGUUGUCCGGAAUUAUUGGGCGUAAAGAGCUCGUAGGCGGCCAACUAAGUCAGACGUGAAAUCCCUCAGCUUAACUGGGGAACUGCGUCUGAUACUGGAUGGCUUGGAUUCGGGAGAGGAAUGCGGAAUUCCAGGUGUAGCGGUGAAAUGCGUAGAUAUCUGGAGGAACACCGGUGGCGAAGGCGGCAUUCUGGACCGAUAUUGACGCUGAGGAGCGAAAGCCAGGGGAGCAAACGGG